RNAcentral lists this ribosomal RNA (305 nucleotides) under uncultured bacterium. RNAcentral describes it as "partial 16S ribosomal RNA". It matches the Rfam family "Bacterial small subunit ribosomal RNA", at positions 505 to 807 of the family's 1533-position model. The record is from RNAcentral.
ACAGCAGUCGCCACGGUAAUACGUAGGGUGCAAGCGUUAAUCGGAAUUACUGGGCGUAAAGCGUGCGCAGGCGGUCUGUCAAGUCAGAUGUGAAAUCCCCGGGCUUAACCUGGGAACUGCGUUUGAAACUGGCAGGCUAGAGUCUUGUAGAGGGGGGUAGAAUUCCAGGUGUAGCGGUGAAAUUCGUAGAGAUCUGGAGGAAUACCGGUGGCGAAGGCGCCCCCCUGGACAAAGACUGACGCUCAGGUGCGAAAGCGUGGGGAGCAAACAGGAUUAGAUACCCGCGUAGUCCCUGUCUCUUAUAC